UACUCCGGAACGUUCUGAGGAAUCGAAGGGAUUUGCAACGCGUCGCCAGCGCAACCGUGGUGUAACUGAGUGGUGACCAAAGGAAGAGACGGACCUGCGUGCUGAUGAUUGUAUUGCAUUAUUCAUCGCAGCUGCUACCGGAGCCCUCAGCGUCGGCAACAGCAUUCAGAGCUCCCCCCUUCAGAAAUCUGGAGAUUCCAUGAUGUGCCAGACAAACUAGGAUGAACUGCGCGCUUCGCCGCGCCCGUAUAAGCUGCGCGCUUGUGUUGUGAAGUACAUGUACAUGCUGUUGUUUGCAUUGUUUGCAUGUGUAUUAGGGCUGAAAUGUAUUGCAAGUUUCUAAGUGGAAUCCAUUUGAGCUGACUUUAGCUUGUGUGACCGUGAGGGUUGAAUGGGCUUGGUCCUGCCUUGCUCUUUUGUGUGGCCACAACACACAGCAGAUUAUGG
RNAcentral lists this long non-coding RNA (447 nucleotides) under Setaria italica (foxtail millet). Its description in RNAcentral is "long non-coding RNA (SITA_LNC001961)". The record is from RNAcentral. Lineage: Eukaryota; Viridiplantae; Streptophyta; Magnoliopsida; Poales; Poaceae.